Molecule: long non-coding RNA, 278 nt
Filed under: Homo sapiens (human)
Lineage: Eukaryota; Metazoa; Chordata; Mammalia; Primates; Hominidae
Description: HSALNT0109881
Source: RNAcentral
CUGUUCCGUUUGGCUUCUAGGAGCAUUUGUCUUUGUGGUACCAUUUCUGCAUUCCUCUUGUCUAUCUCACUCUGCCAAAAGAAUUAAAUCACAUCACCAGUGGUUUUCAUCCAGGGAAGGUGGGAGGAUGCAAACUUAAGGAACAUAUUAAAACCCCAAGUUGCCUCCUAGUUCAGCAUUUGUUUCUUUUCCUCCACAAUGACUAUCAGUCGAAGAGCACUUCUGUAAAGAUUUGCAGUGAAACAUCCUGACUGUUCAAGUUUGUAUUGUAAGCCUGU